AUUGUUUGGAAUGGGCCAGCUGGUGUGUUUGAAUUCGAGAAGUUUGCGGGUGGCACCCGAGCUCUCAUGGACUGUGUUGUAAAGGCAACCAACAGUGGUGCUGUUACUAUUAUUGGUGGCGGUGACACGGCCACAUGUUGCGCGAAGUGGGGCACUGAAGACAAGGUCUCCCACGUUUCCACUGGCGGCGGCGCCUCCCUUGAACUGCUC
Molecule: long non-coding RNA, 210 nt
Organism: Papilio xuthus (Asian swallowtail)
Lineage: Eukaryota; Metazoa; Arthropoda; Insecta; Lepidoptera; Papilionidae
Exons: 3
Source: RefSeq, a predicted model, not a curated record